Molecule: ribosomal RNA, 437 nt
Filed under: uncultured bacterium
Lineage: Bacteria
Description: partial 16S ribosomal RNA
Rfam family: Bacterial small subunit ribosomal RNA
Source: RNAcentral
GAUGAACGCUGGCGGCAUGCUUUACACAUGCAAGUCGGACGGGAAGUGGUGUUUCCAGUGGCGGUCGGGUGAGUAACGCGUAAGAACCUGCCCUUGGGAGGGGAACAACAGCUGGAAACGGCUACUAAUACCCCGUAGGCUUAGGAGCGAAAGGAGGAAUCCGCCCCAGGAGGGGCUCGCGUCUGAUUAGCUAGUUGGUGGGGUAAUAGCUGACCAAGGCCGUGGUCAGUAGCUGGUCCGAGAGGAUGAUCCGCCACACUGGGACUGAGACAAGGCCCAGGCUACCACGCGCGGCAGGAGUAGGGAAUACUGAGCAAUGGGGGAAGGCCUGACGAGGCAAUGCCGCCGGGAGGUAAAAGGCCUACGGGUGAAGAACUUCGUUUCCAGGAGAAGAAACAAUGACGGUACCUGGGGAAAAAGCAACGGCUAACUAUGUG